RNAcentral lists this ribosomal RNA (253 nucleotides) under uncultured bacterium. RNAcentral describes it as "partial 16S ribosomal RNA". It matches the Rfam family "Bacterial small subunit ribosomal RNA", at positions 524 to 776 of the family's 1533-position model. The record is from RNAcentral.
UACAGAGGGUGCGAGCGUUAAUCGGAGUUACUGGGCGUAAAGGGCGCGUAGGCGGAUGUGUGAGUGUGAUGUGAAAGCCCUGGGCUUAACCUAGGAAGUGCAUCGCAAACGACAUAUCUGGAGUAUAAGAGAGGGUGGCGGAAUUUCCGGUGUAGCGGUGAAAUGCGUAGAGAUCGGAAGGAACGUCAAUGGCGAAGGCAGCCACCUGGCUUAAUACUGACGCUGAGGCGCGAAAGCGUGGGGAUCAAACAGG